AAUUGUCGUUGAUCCAAGGUAACAUGUAUGUGGCUUGUUUCAGUAUGCCAAUAACUGGGCUUUUGAGCAGGGGUCAACAUCACCGGAAAUAUAAAAUAGCGUUGAAGAGCAUUGGCCAGCUACGCCAGUGCGGAUUAUAUUGCAAGUGUCCGCAGCAAUGUGGGAGGCUCAUUCUCACCCGAUGACAGAUGUAGAGGAGAAAUAGCAAAAGCCUCUCAUCGAAUUCACACAUAUCCUUUGUAGCCCUUUUCCUAAAAAUGUACCGAUUGCUUGUGAGUUUGCAGAACACUCAGCGGCAGGUACUUGUUGCCCUCACUGAGCUAUGGAGCUCGCCUGCUUUGUAGGGUUGGGAUUGUCAACCUCAGUCACUCCCUGCAACCUUCCAAAAUACAGGGG
RNAcentral lists this small RNA (396 nucleotides) under Histoplasma ohiense. RNAcentral describes it as "hypothetical lncRNA". The record is from RNAcentral. Lineage: Eukaryota; Fungi; Ascomycota; Eurotiomycetes; Onygenales; Ajellomycetaceae.